GGCGUGUAUCUCGCAGCAAUUUUGAUUCCUACUAAAACAGAUUAUCACCAUUGUCACCACCCGUACUCUGGAAGAUCUGUAGCUUUGUUUUCGGGGUAAUCUGCAUUUCAGUCAUGUAAUUGUAUCUGGUGUCAAUAGCCUUUUUGCUUGAUACAUGCAUUCUAAAGGAUGGCAAUUGUUCGCCCCAACCGAUCUAUGCAGAUCAAUUUUUUUCGACCUCUCUG
This 224-nucleotide unclassified non-coding RNA is filed under the name Hevea brasiliensis (rubber tree). The record is from RNAcentral. Lineage: Eukaryota; Viridiplantae; Streptophyta; Magnoliopsida; Malpighiales; Euphorbiaceae.